Molecule: long non-coding RNA, 678 nt
Organism: Mandrillus leucophaeus (drill)
Lineage: Eukaryota; Metazoa; Chordata; Mammalia; Primates; Cercopithecidae
Exons: 4
Source: RefSeq, a predicted model, not a curated record
AACACUUAAGACUCCUGACUCCCAGAACUGGAGUGACAGUUCCUCAUGUUAAAAUGAUCAGAAUAUCUGGCGGAUGAUCUCUCGUCGCUCGGGGACAAGUUUGUACUGGAUAACCUCCUCCAGCUCGGACAGCAUGUGGCAAGAAACCAUGGCCUGAUGGAAGCAAAUCACAUUCCAAACUAAUUACUGCACAAACAAUCCAAAAGACAGGAUUUAAAUCAUUCCUUCUGGUGUCAGGGUAUCUGCUGAUCAGAGAAAACAGGCAUGUUUCCAGCAGCCUGGACGAAGAGAGAAAUUUGCUGAAGAAAGGCAUUUUCCCAGAAGUGAAUGGCUUGAGAGGAGGUAUUAUCCAAUUUCUCAUCAAAGACAGAAAUGCAUGGCAUCCAAAACUUUAACAUCUAUCUAAGGAUGGGGCUGGUUACCAGAAAGACCAAGUAAUUACCAGGUUUGAACUUUCAGCCCUGUCCACUGACAUCCAGGAAAGGUGAAGAGGUUGAAAAUUAAAGGCAAUAAAAACUCUUGAACAAUGAGCUUCCAGGUUGAUGAAGGUGCUGGGAGGGUGAUGGUAAACCCCAGUACCACACAGGACAUAAACUUCUGCACUCUAGACCCUUCUAGACCUUCCCUCAUUGUAUCUGUUCAUCUGUAUCUUGUAUAAUACCCUUUAUAGGAAACCAG